Molecule: long non-coding RNA, 230 nt
Organism: Phycodurus eques (leafy seadragon)
Lineage: Eukaryota; Metazoa; Chordata; Actinopteri; Syngnathiformes; Syngnathidae
Exons: 3
Source: RefSeq, a predicted model, not a curated record
AUGGUCCACAGUAAGUUGCAUCAUUCAGAUCCUCUGCAGGCCAUGGAAAGGCCAAAAAAUUUCUCUUGGCUGGACUGCUUCCAGGACCCGACUAUGGAGGUAUCAUUUGGACAGAUGUGAGGCCGUGAGCAGCUUUGACCCUUAUCUCACUGGAUCUGAUGGCGACUCAAGUUUCCGCUGAUUGCAGAGAGAUCUCUGUGACAUCCCUUGGGGUCUCCUGGAGACUAGCC